CUAAUACAUGCAAGUUGAGCGAUGAAGAUUGGUGCUUGCACCAAUUUGAAGAGCAGCGAACGGGUGAGUAACGCGUGGGGAAUCUGCCUUUGAGCGGGGGACAACAUUUGGAAACGAAUGCUAAUACCGCAUAACAACUUUAAACAUAAGUUUUAAGUUUGAAAGAUGCAAUUGCAUCACUCAAAGAUGAUCCCGCGUUGUAUUAGCUAGUUGGUGAGGUAAAGGCUCACCAAGGCGAUGAUACAUAGCCGACCUGAGAGGGUGAUCGGCCACAUUGGGACUGAGACACGGCCCAAACUCCUACGGGAGGCAGCAGUAGGGAAUCUUCGGCAAUGGACGAAAGUCUGACCGAGCAACGCCGCGUGAGUGAAGAAGGUUUUCGGAUCGUAAAACUCUGUUGGUAGAGAAGAACGUUGGUGAGAGUGGAAAGCUCAUCAAGUGACGGUAACUACCCAGAAAGGGACGGCUAACUACGUGCCAGCAGCCGCGGUAAUACGUAGGUCCCGAGCGUUGUCCGGAUUUAUUGGGCGUAAAGCGAGCGCAGGUGGUUUAUUAAGUCUGGUGUAAAAGGCAGUGGCUCAACCAUUGUAUGCAUUGGAAACUGGUAGACUUGAGUGCAGGAGAGGAGAGUGGAAUUCCAUGUGUAGCGGUGAAAUGCGUAGAUAUAUGGAGGAACACCGGUGGCGAAAGCGGCUCUCUGGCCUGUAACUGACACUGAGGCUCGAAAGCGUG
Molecule: ribosomal RNA, 732 nt
Filed under: Lactococcus lactis
Lineage: Bacteria; Bacillati; Bacillota; Bacilli; Lactobacillales; Streptococcaceae
Description: bacterial SSU rRNA
Rfam family: Bacterial small subunit ribosomal RNA
Source: RNAcentral